This 1214-nucleotide long non-coding RNA is filed under the name Mytilus galloprovincialis (Mediterranean mussel). Lineage: Eukaryota; Metazoa; Mollusca; Bivalvia; Mytilida; Mytilidae. The record is from RNAcentral.
CCCCACAUUGUCAUUGGAGAAAUUAAAUAAGUAUAAGAAAAAAAAAUUGUAUAAGAAAAAAUACUGAAUAAUAAUUUCCUGUCAAUAUACACAUCUACAUGGUAUGUCCUUAUUAUCUACAAAAUUUCAUGAAAUUCUGUUGUGUGUUUUCAGAGGAGUUGAGAUGACAAACUGUUGCAGAAGUACAUUGAAGCAAAUAAGUUCAAAGGGGCAUAACUCCUACAAAAAAAAUUGAAUCGCAAUUUCCUGUUGAUAUGCACAUCUACAUAGUAUGUCCUUAUUAUCUGAAAAGGUUUCGUGAAAUUCUGUUGUGUGGUUUGAGAGGAGUUGCGAUGACAAACUGUUGCAGAAGUACAUUAAAGUAAAUAAGUUCAAAGGGGCGUAACUCCUAGAAAAAAAAUUGAAUCGCAAUUUCCCGUCGAUAUGCACAACUACAUAGUAUGUCCUUAUUAUCUGAAAAGGUUUCGUGAAAUUCUGUUGUGUGGUUUGAGAGGAGUUGCGAUGACAAACUGUUGCAGUAGUACAUUAAAGUAAAUAAGUUUAAAGGGGCGUAACUCCUAGAAAAAAAAUUGAAUCGCAAUUUCCCGUCGAUAUGCACAACUACAUAGUAUGUCCUUAUUAUCUGAAAAGGUUUCGUGAAAUUCUGUUGUGUGGUUUGAGAGGAGUUGCGAUGACAAACUGUUGCAGUAGUACAUUAAAGUAAAUAAGUUCAAAGGGGCGUAACUCCUAGAAAAAAUUGAAUCGCAAUUUCCCGUCGAUAUGCACAACUACAUAGUAUGUCCUUAUUAUCUGAAAAGGUUUCGUGAAAUUCUGUUGUGUGGUUUGAGAGGAGUUGCGAUGACAAACUGUUGCAGUAGUACAUUAAAGUAAAUAAGUUCAAAGGGGCGUAACUCCUAGAAAAAAAAAAUUGAAUCCCAAUUUCCCGUCGAUAUGCACAACUACAUAGUAUGUCCUUAUUAUCUGAAAAGGUUUCGUGAAAUUCUGUUGUGUGGUUUGAGAGGAGUUGCGAUGACAAACUGUUGCAGUAGUACAUUAAAGUAAAUAAGUUCAAAGGGGCGUAACUCCUAGAAAAAAAAUUGAAUCACAAUUUCCCGUCGAUAUGCACAACUACAUAGUAUGUCCUUAUUAUCUGAAAAGGUUUCGUGAAAUUCUAUUGUGUGGUUUGAGAGGAGUUGCGAUGACAAGAAACAGGACUGACGGACUGACGGACGGAC